UGGCCCCUCUGCCCAAUUGGAAAGACGUGAAGGACUUACGACUGACGAGUGACGACUCAAUGGUGAAUUGAAGUAUCGAACCCCGAUCCUCAUCUUCCGUUGAAACCGUUCUUCAUUGGUUGCUUCUAGUCGUCAGAUGCCUCACGGCCUCAGUGCCUCACACCACAAUUACCACCGUCCACUGUCAGCUCCGCCACCGCAGGUCACCCUCCGGCCUCCACAGCAGACGCAACACGCCAACACAGCAGGCGGCAGCAGCUAGCAGACUUUCAAUCUUCAGUCUUCUCUUCUAAUUAGAAUCUACAACUCGAUGAAGGAGAUGUAUGUGGUGUUUGCAUCUUGAGAGGAUCAUGUGAUAGGGCCUAUUUGAUUCUAAAAGACAUUGAAUUGGGUGCUCGAACUGUAGAUAUUGUGCGCAUUUUGUUAAACUAUGCAAUUGAUCCAGUUAUUGAUUCAAAUAAGAAGACUUUAGGGGCAGAAGUCAUUGAAGCAUCUGCAAGAAAAUUGCUUUUGGAGUUGACUGAACUUAGUGACACAGCCAUUUUCUAUGAAGUUCAAAAGCCACCUGCAACAGUUGCUCGAAAGGUGCAAUUUCUUGAAUUUUUCAAGGAAUAAAAAGUGUCGCGAAUGUAAUGAAGAAGGUCCUUUAAAACCUGGUCUUGAUGAAGUUGAAAUGAAAAAAGGAGAUUGGAACUGUCCUCAUGACAUAAAUGCAGGUGCAAUUUUAUGAAUUUUUCAAGAAACAUUCGGUGUCUAAAAUGCAAAACUGAGGGGCCUAAAAGGGUUGGAAUUGAUGAUGUUGAAAUGAAGAAAGGAGACUGGAACUGCCCACAGUGUCAAUUUACGAAUUUUGCAAGCAACACAAAGUGUUUACGUUGCAGAGAGCAACGUCCCAAAAGGCAACUGAAUUCUGGAGAGUGGGAGUGUCCUUCGUGUGAUUUCUUUAAUUAUGCGGGGAAUGUUGUGUGUCGAAAGUGUAAUGGUGAAAGGCCAAAUAAUGCAGAAGCCAAGUAUGAAGAGCAGAUGUGGAAAAAGCCUUCUUAAUUUUGUUACUCUGGCUACAGAGUGCACGAAGGAAUAAAGCUUUCAACUUUACACAAACUUCGGUCAAGUCACAAGCGAGUGCCAUAACCCAUAUGAAAUGAGAUGUAAAAAUAGGUUUAGAUUGGUGCUUAGUUGGGCCUAUUGGGCCUUGAAGCUUGGUUGUUUAUGAGCCUGUUUGGGCUAAUAGUUUUAGGGUUUGUUUGUUUUUAUUUCAUUAAGCCUUGUAUGGAUAAAUCAUAUCUAUUAAGAAAUGUUGCUGAAUGGAAAUUUAUUUUUUUGAUUGCAAUCCAACAUAAAACAA
Molecule: non-coding RNA, 1345 nt
Organism: Lactuca sativa (garden lettuce)
Lineage: Eukaryota; Viridiplantae; Streptophyta; Magnoliopsida; Asterales; Asteraceae
Source: RefSeq, a predicted model, not a curated record